RNAcentral lists this microRNA precursor (58 nucleotides) under Tetraodon nigroviridis (spotted green pufferfish). Its description in RNAcentral is "Tni-Mir-204-P2_pre stem-loop". It matches the Rfam family "mir-204 microRNA precursor family", at positions 16 to 74 of the family's 89-position model. The record is from RNAcentral. Lineage: Eukaryota; Metazoa; Chordata; Actinopteri; Tetraodontiformes; Tetraodontidae.
UUCCCUUUGUUAUCCUAUGCCUGGACUCAAAAAAGGGGCUGGGAGGGCAAAGGGUUGC